GACGAACGCUGGCGGCGUGCUUAACACAUGCAAGUCGAGCGAAGAGCGAUGGAAGCUUGCUUCUAUCAAUCUUAGUGGCGAACGGGUGAGUAACGCGUAAUCAACCUGCCCUUCAGAGGGGGACAACAGUUGGAAACGACUGCUAAUACCGCAUACGAUCUAAACUCGGCAUCGAGGAUAGAUGAAAGGUGGCCUCUACAUGUAAGCUAUCACUGAAGGAGGGGAUUGCGUCUGAUUAGCUAGUUGGAGGGGUAACGGCCCACCAAGGCGAUGAUCAGUAGCCGGUCUGAGAGGAUGAACGGCCACAUUGGGACUGAGACACGGCCCAGACUCCUACGGGAGGCAGCAGUGGGGAAUCUUCCGCAAUGGACGAAAGUCUGACGGAGCAACGCCGCGUGAGUGAUGACGGCCUUCGGGUUGUAAAGCUCUGUUAAUCGGGACGAAAGGCCUUCUUGCGAAUAGUGAGAAGGAUUGACGGUACCGGAAUAGAAAGCCACGGCUAACUACGUG
Molecule: ribosomal RNA, 510 nt
Filed under: uncultured bacterium
Lineage: Bacteria
Description: partial 16S ribosomal RNA
Rfam family: Bacterial small subunit ribosomal RNA
Source: RNAcentral